Phasianus colchicus (ring-necked pheasant) is the source of this 2294-nucleotide long non-coding RNA. RefSeq lists it as uncharacterized. The record is from RefSeq and is a predicted model, not a curated record. Lineage: Eukaryota; Metazoa; Chordata; Aves; Galliformes; Phasianidae.
ACAUGAUGGACUGGCUUGAAAUUGAUUAUCUGAUGGGCUGGAUUUAGGUAUAAAUGCCAGACCUUGAUCCAAUUUUCCAUUUUAUGCAGCCGGGCCCCCCAGUCCGGCUGGGACUAUGGACAACUGUGCAUUUCCUAAUAUCAAGUAAUGAACCUCUUUCCUACCUAAAAUGAGACUAUUUGCAUUUGGCUGAGGAACUGAAGACUAGAAGUAUGAAAUACAGCAUUUCAGCCCCAGGUUACCAGCUUGAAUCUUGCUGAGGAUGGUGAACGAAUUUCAUUGCUUUAGAGGCCUUUGUAAAAUAAAAUACGAGUUCUAUGGCAUUUACAGGCAAAUUUCAAGCAAGCCAAAAUGAUAGUGGUAACUAUCAAUUAAAAGGCUCUUAAAUUACCUCAUGUUUACUGCAGUCUAGGAGGAUAUUCACAGAUUCCAACCACAGAUUAGCUGUUGUGGUAAUUUCUCUGUGCUAUACAAUGAUCUGGGAAGGGGAGUCUGGAUUCCACUUCAGGAUCUAAAUGCGUGGCAGUGAUUCCUGUGGCAACUGAGGUCACCAGUUAGGAUGAAGACAAAGUCAACAGCCCAUACCGAGCAUGUGAGCCCUUGCCCUGUGCCAGCUGCUUGCAAGUCCCCAUAGAACUUCCAUGCAGUGAAAAGGGGAUUUUUGCAUGCCCCAAGAUUUUUACACAACCUUGGCAGAAAAUGACCUGACGGGAGCGAAAGAGAAAGUGAUAGAAGAUGAUACAUUAAUUAGACUAAGGAGACACAGUCCCUUAUUCUCUCUUUUGAAAUAUUGUUAGAGCCCACAGAAGUAUAAUCAAAUAUUCAAAAUUGUGUUUACACUGAAAAUGCCUGAGGCUUUUUCUAAAUACAGCAGCAGGAAUUUAUUGUCAUCUUGUUUUGCCAAAUCUCCUUAAACAGUCACAGACAGGUAACGUGGAUAUUGAGAACAUUUGUCAUAGUUAAAUCUGGUCCACAAAACAGGCUAAUUCUGUAGUCAGAGGCAGCAGUUUAUUUCCCAAAAUGAUGUUAGAACAUGGCAUACUUUGUUCUUAUUGAUAUACUGUUACUAUGAAUUAAAGAGGGAGUAUAUCAAGUUAACAGCUUAGUUUAUACCUGGAGAAAUAGGAUAGAGUGUUCUGGAAAUGCACCAUCAAACAGAUUCAAAAGCAGUACCUCUAGAAGAGGAGCAGCCCUCGUAACAAUAUCAAACAGCACCCAGAUAAGUAUUACUCUUCUGGUGAAAGUUUUGCUGAAGUGUUCCUUAUGAAAAUAGUAACAGAAUGGCUCCAUACUUUUUAUACACAACCAUCAGAACACUUUGUGGUCUUUAAGGCAACAGAACUUUGAUCUCUUGUUGAAAACCUAAGAGGUUGUGCUGGUGCUGUUACUUCAGGCAUGUGCAGUCUCUCCUGAAGACUGAGGCAAUUCUGCCUCCAAGUACUGCAGAACUGGACAGAGGUAGUGCCAUUCUCUGUCAAAGUGGAACACUGACUGCAUAGAAAGUACUGCUUUGCAGUGAAGUAUUUGGGGAUGAAAUGCAUCUUUGGGAGACUCCGUAAAAUAAAUUAAAUUGAACUGAGCAAAAGAAAUUGCUGUCAGCAAAACAGAGCAGCAAGAAAAUUAAAACCAUUUAUUCCAUUAAGAAACAAUAAUAAUUCUUCAAAUACAUAAGACUUCAGAUGGACAAAUGCCUCUUAGUUUUUCAAAUACCUUGUAUAUUACUGCCAGAAAGCACCGGCAGACUGCCUUUAGUAGAGGUUACCUGACUACCAGGACAAUAUUCAUGCAAGUGUCCUGCUCAGAAGUAAGAUGGAUACUUGGUAAACCUUUUAAAUAUAUUUAACCACUAAGGAAAUAACCAAUUUUCCUGCCCAUUCCCUCAGCCUCAUUCUAACAUGGGAUUCUCUUGCCAGCUAAAAUUCCAGUGUAUCACUCUUCCAGAAGAAAUACUGUGCAUCGUUUCUCCCUUCCCACACCCAUUGUCUUCCUCAAUUGGGAAGACAGCUUAAACAAUUUUUUCUCCCUAUGUUACAUUUCAGCUUUCUAGUUGAAGCAAAAUGAAGCAAAGUCACAAUACUGAAUUUGACAUCGUGUGUUGCCAUAGUGACGGCCACACUGCUUCCAGCGAUGCAGAGCGAGGGGUACCUGUUGCUUAGCAGGGGCUGUCAGCUUCCACAUGCUACACAGCAUCUGGAGUAACAAGGCUGUAGAGCAAAGCAGGCAGAAAGAGGCAAUGUAGGAAACCCAGCAGCCUGUUGAAGAGAGCUGCAGAGUGCAGUUUUAGCAGAGAAACG